GUGUUUAUUAUAUAAGGUGUAUAGCAUAUAUGAGAGUUAUAUUUAAUAAGUAUAUUUUGAUUAUAUCAGUUUUAAAAAAGAAUAUUUAGAGUUUAUGUUUAGUUUAUAGUGAAAUUUGAGAAUAAAAUUUUAAAAAUUAGAUUUGUAAUUUAUGUGUUAAGAUUUGGUGUUUAAGUUAGAAAAUAUUAGUUUUACUGGGUAGAUUUAUAAUUUAUGGUUAGUACAUAGGGUUCAGAUGGGGUUUGAGGAAUAUCCGAAUAUGGUUUGGAGUUUAGAUAUAAGGUUUGUAAUUUAAAUUUUUAAUUUAGUGGUAGUAAAUGUUAUAAUGAAUUAUUAAAUAUAUUAAUUAUUAAUUAUUAAUCUAGUGGUGAGACUUAGUUAUAAAUAUUUCUAGAGUAUUGAAUGUAUAGAUUAUGUUUGAAGUUAAGAUUCAUGAUAAAGAGUUUGAUUAAAGAUUAAAGAUUUGUGUUUAGAAAAAUAUAGUUUAAGAUUAAGAAGAUUAAAUUUUUAGUUUAAUUUAAAGAUUUAAAGUUAUAGUAUGAAAAGAUUAGAAUUUUAAGGGUUAUCUUUAGAGUUUAGAGUUUGAAACCAUGUUUAGGGUUUAGGGGUUCAAUUAGUUUUUCUUAGCGUUAGAAAAAUGCUAUUAUAUGUCUUUGAUAGCAUUUUUGAAGCUGAUUAAGUAAUGUUUUUGGCGCAUUUUCCGAUAAAU
Molecule: long non-coding RNA, 709 nt
Filed under: Brassica napus (rape)
Lineage: Eukaryota; Viridiplantae; Streptophyta; Magnoliopsida; Brassicales; Brassicaceae
Description: long non-coding RNA (BNAP_LNC001253)
Source: RNAcentral